Molecule: non-coding RNA, 87 nt
Filed under: Domibacillus iocasae
Lineage: Bacteria; Bacillati; Bacillota; Bacilli; Caryophanales; Bacillaceae
Description: c-di-GMP sequence
Rfam family: c-di-GMP-I riboswitch aptamer
About the family: GEMM was predicted in a large-scale screen for bacterial structured RNA regulatory elements.
Source: Rfam by way of RNAcentral
UAAUGAUAAAGGCAAACUUUCCGAAAGGAUAGGACGCAAAGCCGCGGGUCUAACAUUCUUAUGAAUUAUGACAGCCAGGUUGCCAAA